UUAUUUGUUUGUUUCUAGAGAAGGCUUAGCAAAAAAACCAAAUUUUAGCUUUGGAUUUUGAGCAGUGAAGUAGAAUGAAAUAGCUUGAUUGCAAAAAAAAUUUCAACGUAUUUGAAGUGAUUCAUUGCAAUUAAUAGUGAUUCCAGUGAAUAUGUAGUUGGAAAGGAAGAUUAAAAUCUAUAAACAUCUAAAUUAAGGAUUAACGUUGGGAAAUUUCAUUGCAAAUUGAGUUAGGAGCUACAGUUUUGUAUUAUUUUUGACUCAUUCACCUCUGUAUAAUAGCCAAUUAAUUAAAGAUCUAGUAUCAAAACUUGAUAUUAUUAAGAGAGAAUGCUCCUAAUUUUUAACAUAAAAUAAAAGUAACGUGAAGAGAUUCAGUAAAUGAAAUGAAGUUGGAGAAAAUGGGCCUAACAUUUUACGUUGAUAUAAUUACAAGAAUAUGUGUGGUAAUGCGCUUGAUUUAUUUCACAAUAGUAUUAUAGUAUAUACUUCAUAUUAUAUAUUUCAUAUAUUAUAUAUAAUAAAAUUUGUGUGUUACAGCUAUAUAUAGUUAUGUUCAGUUAAGUUUAGUGAAUUAGUAGCCCAUUUUUUGUGCUUAGUCUAUAUUGCCAAAACAAUGAUGAAGUAGUCCUGUGGCACCUAUAUUUGGUGGGAAGGAAUAUGGAGAUUUUAUCUCUGGUCUAUGUCUUAUUUUGUCCAUGAAUCUUGUUAUUAGAUGCACUUCCUUGUGGAUUUUGGUGUGAUCAUCGUUUAAUUCUCCUUUGUCAGUCCAAACCCAGUAUAUUCUGCUUCCCUUUAUCCGCUUUUCAAAAAAUAUGUUAGAAUUUCAUCAGUCCAUUUUUUUUUCCUCUGUAGAUUGAGAAAGCAGAGUUCUCAUGUAAAUCUUGGUUUCCAGUUGCAGCAAAAUCCUUAAUUCAUAGAAUUUUAGACCCCAAUCCUGAAACUAUAAGUACUAGCUCUAUGACAAGACGUUGAUUUUUGUAUGUAACAUUUGUGCAUUCUCUUGGUUGCAUCUGAUAAAUAGGAUUUGUGACAAAUACAAAUGCUCAUGCAAUUUGUUAGGUUCUAAAAGUUUAGAAUAAUUGGCAAAUCGUGAACACAAACUUGUCUAGAUAUAGAUCUUAGAUUCUAUAGGUAUUAUUAAACAAUGCUCAAGGUGAUACAAGUCAAGUUUCAAGAAUAUACAAGCUGCAGAAAGAAGAAUUCAGAAACUACUUGGUUCGACUGAUCGAAACACGUAUCUAUAGAAUUUUAUUUCAGCCCAAACUUUACUUAAACGUAUUGGGUUUCAAGUAAAACACUACUAGUAUAUAAAGGAAACUUUAAGCAUGUUUUUAUAAGGCUUUCCAGAGAGAGAAGAGUGUGACUCUUUUGUAUCUAGGAUUUUGUACCCAAAAAACUCUCUUAUGUCUUCUACCGGUGUUAUUCCUUGAAAAAUCUCAAGAUUCAAUGCUGUAGAAGUUGCUACCUUCUCUAGUCAUCAAAGGUGCUGAUGAUUUAAACCUUUAAGGGUGGUCUUGGAGUCACAAAUAGGAAAGCUUGUGUUUUUGCAAAGGCCAAGGAAAGAAGUAGCCAAUGGACUCGGAGUUAUCAUGUGGUCGUGAUAAUAAGUUUUCUACUCAAGAUCACAAUGAGGUAGGCAAGGGAAUAUUAGAAGCUUAUCCUCAAAAGCAAGUAGUUAAGAAAGUUGACUAACACAAUCAAGGUUAGUUUUUGCUAGAAUGCUAGACUCGUAAUUUAUGUAUAUACCUAAGUUACUUAUUGAAAUUUAUAUAUUUAUUUAUUGUCAAAAAUUUACAAUGAAAAUCAUCUAUCUUUAUAACUGGUAUUUUGUUUACUCUUGUUGCCCUCUAACUUGAGCGUGCCAUUUUUGUUGUAUGUGGCUUCCAUAUUAGCAGCUAAAUUAUGAUUCUUUUUAUUUUAUGUUUCUUACUUAGGAAGAAUUUGUAAUGAAUAGACAUUGUAUAUUAUUUUCUAUGUCAAUCUAUAGUUGCAGAAAUGGCCAAAAAGGGCAAAGACACUCAUAAUAAAAUAACAAAAUAUGAGAUGGAAAGAGCAUAAAGAAUCAAGCAAAACCAAGAGAGAAUGAAUGAUUUGGGAUUGAAGCAUCUGUCAACUUUUCUACCUAAAUUUGCAAAUGUGGGAAGAAAAAGAGUAAGUGUUCAAGUAGAUGACGACGAGUAUGUACCAGUUAUUGAUGAAGAUGAUGGUGAUGAUGAGUCAUCUAGUUCUUUAAAUAAUGAGAUGGCUCGUUAUAGGCGUGAGAAAUCUACCCCAACAGUCCAACAUACUGGCCCAUCAUCGAGCACACAUCUUGGUGUAGAUUCUCUUGCCCAAAUUUCUAUAAAUGUAGAGGUACAACUUGUGGGCACAUCGUCUACCAUAGGUGCAUCAACUAGUAGAUGUGCUCGUGGCAUGAUGCGUGGAUUAGGAGUACGAGGACUUGUUGAGAAACAUGGGAAGCUACUGGUUUGCAUUGCCUCGUAGUUUUGUGAUCCAAGUGGUGAACAUGCAGGGAAGCUUGCUAGCCAAAUUGGUGUACAAGUGUGUAUGAACUUGUCCACUAUGAAAGCUUAUAGUUGGAAGAAUGUUGAUAACAGUGAAAAAGUGGUGAUCAUUCAAAAUGUGUUGGAUCAAUUUGAUCUAUAAGGAGAAUUUGUACUUGUGAACAAAUCUUUAAAUACGAAAUGUAGUAGAUUAUUGAGCAGCCACAACAGCAGGUUGUUUGCCCAAUAUGAAAAACUUGUAAAGGAUAAAGGAAGCAUGUAUGCAAGAAACUACCCACCAAAAAAUGCCACACGAGAAAAAUGGAUUGAAUUAAUUGAUGGAAAGUGGAGUAAUGAAAAUUGGUUGGAAGUCUUAAAAAGAAAUGCUGCAAACAGAAAUGGAAAAGGAAUGGUUAGUAAACACAUUCAUAGAUGUGGAAACAAAUCGUUUGCAGUUAGGGUGGAUAAGGAGAGACGGAAAAAUGGAAGUCAUAUUCUUAACUCGGUACAACUCUACUAUGAUACCUGCUUCAAUUCAAAGACAAAAUAGUGGGUACACCCUGAUUGCGAACAUACAUACAUAUGGGAUUGGUGGCAAAAAGAUAGUCUUUGUGAUACUACCUGAACUCAAAUAAUUUUCUAUAAAGUUUGGAAGACAUCAUUUGUAUAUAAAUGGUUGUAACUAUUUUGUGAACAUCUUUAUUGCAUUUUUAGAUUGUAUAGAUGUGGUUAAAAAUGAA
RNA transcript from Quercus lobata, 3226 nucleotides. RefSeq lists it as uncharacterized. The transcript has 8 exons. The record is from RefSeq and is a predicted model, not a curated record. Lineage: Eukaryota; Viridiplantae; Streptophyta; Magnoliopsida; Fagales; Fagaceae.